This 6877-nucleotide non-coding RNA is filed under the name Cordylochernes scorpioides. Lineage: Eukaryota; Metazoa; Arthropoda; Arachnida; Pseudoscorpiones; Chernetidae. The record is from RNAcentral.
GCGGCCAGCCAAUGAAAAUGAGCGGCCGUCGAGCCACAUGACCCAGCGGUGACGUCGCGCGAUUAGUCGACCAAUCAGAGAGCGGCGUCCAAUUCCGACCAAGCUCUCUAGCUCUUGGGUAACUAGAGACGGCCCUGUCGAAAUCCGUCCGCCCAAGAAUGGCAGACCAAAGAGUUUGACCUCACACGCACCAAGUGCAUGCACGCAGAAACUGGUAACAGUACCAACUCGUGAUUAGGAAGAAACAGAGUCAGAGACCUCCUCUGAAUCCUCCUCGCGGAUCCGUGGUUUCAAUCUGUCACUAGCCAGGAGAAAAUCAACGCAGGCAUGCCAGGUUGAUUUACUGUGGAUGAAGUCGCGGAGUGAUCUUGGCGUAUGACCAAGUUCCUUUCCAGCGAUAAAUAGCAGGCGAGUUCUAAGGGAAUCGAGACUGUCACACUCGAGCAAAAUAUGUUCAAGAGUUUCCUCCGCCCCAGAGUUGCAGUAGGGACAAGUGGGAUCGUCAAUAAAUCCCAUUUUGUGGGAAAAGCUGUCUGUCCAAGUGUGUCCGGACAGCAAACCUACAACAGCGUGCACGCUGGGAACAAUGAACGCAUACUUUUUGUCUAGGAGACUCAUUGGAGUGAGGCCAAAGCGGGUGCAGAUGGGGCGAGUGGUGGAGCUGAAUCUGCUCUGCCAAGCCGCCCACGCCAGUUUGCGCGCUGUGGAUUCUAGUUUCGACAGCGGCGCGAGGCGGUAGCAGCUCGGGAGGUCAGAUCCAGCGCCAGACUUCGCGAGCGCAUCUGCAACGUCGUUGCCGACGAUCCCGCUGUGACCUUUGAUCCAGCGAAUGGAACAUCUAUUCCCAUUGCGGUUCAGUUGUGAAAUCAACAGCAGAGCCCUGUUAAUCAGGAAGUUGCCAGUCCUGCAGUUAAGGACUGAGUUCACAACCGAAAGAUUGUCCAGGAGAACCUCAACAGUGGUAUCAAUGGGGAGCUCCGAAGCGUUCUCAAGUGCUUUGAUCAAACCAAAUGCUUCAGCUUGGAAAACUGAACAGUAACGUGACAAAGGAUAACAGACACGCAAUUCAUGAAAGUUGUCAUUCACACACACUCUAUAUAAACCUGCGCCAACUCCAUCAUUGGUCUUGGAGCCGUCUGUAUAGUAGGUGACCUCGGGUGGUAGUUCAGGAAUAUUGCUGGGAAGGAAUAAGAAAGGUGGAUAAGGCAGAGGUUGAGGAGAUGGGGGAGGUUCAACCGGAAAUUCAGCAUCCACGUAACCAUAUUUUUUAAGAUACAGUUGCGUUUUGACAUCAAUUUCCAGGUCAAGAGGGAGAACACGAGAUAAGGUGAUAAGAGAGGAGUUGUUUGUUGUUCUAAAAGCACGACAAGCUAAGAUGAGGAAAAAACGUUGCGUACUUAAUAAGAGCUUUCUGGAGCGUUCAAAAAGAUUAGGAAACCAUACUGGGGAGGCGUAAGCCACCACGGGAAUAACAACCUGCAAGUACAGCAUUCUCAAGGCUCGGAAUCCAAAACCGAAGUUGAAGUUAGCGGCUGCUGACAGGCGCGGUAGCAUGCCGCGGACUUUGGAGCAGACCUCAGCAACGUGCUGGUGGAAAGUCAAACGGUUGUCGAACCUCACACCAAGCACCCUGAUGGAGUCGCACCAUUGAACGACCUGGCCAUUGCUGACCAGAUCGCGUCGCAGCACCCUAAUGCGCCCGAGAGGUUUUUGCACAAACAUAGCCUGGCAUUUGCUCACACUGAGCUCAAGUUUAUGUAAUCCACACCAGUCAGAGAUCAAAUCGAUGGCGUGUUGUGCCUUAGACAGUUGACCGUGCCUCAAUCCCGAGAUCACAACAACCAGGUCGUCUGCGUAGGCCUGUGGAAAUACACUAUUCUUGUACCCAAGUGUGAGCAAUUCAUCAAAGACGAUAUUCCAGAGGAAGGGCCCGAGAACUGAACCUUGUGGACAACCUUUGGAAACGCGUCUAGUGACAGUGCAUCCAUUUACAGACAGUCUGACAGAGCGAUGGGCCAAGAACGAGCGAAUUAAAUCGUGAACGUUCUUGGGACAGUCGCUUUUACGCAGGGCCCGCAAUAUACUGGAGUGCAGUACAUUAUCAAAGGCACCUUUGACAUCAAAAGAGAGAAGAAUAGCAGAUUUAAAUAAGUCUAGCGACCGGGAGAGGGUAUUUUUUAAUUUUAAGAGUGCGGCAAUGGUUGAUUUACAGGGUCUGAAACCGAACUGGUUUGGCUGGGCUUUACACAUUCUCUCAGCCCUCCACGACAGCCUAGCCAGGAUUAGACGCUCGAGAAUUUUACCUAGACUAGGCAGCAUCGUGAUAGGCCUGUGAGACGCGAGAAAGUCCUCACCACCUUUUUUGGGGAUCAAAAUUACAUCGCCCAAUUUCCAGGGAGCUGGAAAGUGGCCAGUCACAAGACACCUGUUAAAAAAUUUCAGAAAAAAACGGCCGGAAUUUUUUAAUUAACUUAACACAAAGAACAGGUGGCAUGCCAUCACUGCCUGGGGAAGAAGAUAAGCGAACCUUAUCCGCGGCCAGCUGCAACUCGACUUCUGAGAACGGGGGAUCGUUAUCAGAAAUUGACUGCAAGGCUCUAUGUAAAUUACUAUGCCCUAACAUGGAAUCGGGCGGGACUCGGCCGAAAUAGUGCUGUAAUACGUGAUCUAAGGUGUCCCGCUGACUGUCAGUGAAGCCGGCGCCUACCGAGAGGGAGGAGAGAGGUUUUUUCUUGUGCUUUCCUCUGAUGAAUUGGUAAAUACCGCCCCAAGGGUUGACUUCGCACUGCGAGCAGAGUCUUUUCCACUCCUCCUGCUUAGCUUUUCUGAUCGUAGCACGAAAUCUGUUAUAAAGCUUUUUGUGAAAGACUUUUAACACACCUCUGACGGCUCCGCGGGCGCGUCUCCACGCACGCUCGGCCUUCAAAGUAGCCCUUUGGAGCGGAUUAAACUCCGGUUUCCACCAAGAUGCAUUUUUUAUUUUGCCAGGUUUAUUUGGCUUGGAAGGAAUGGUCUGUAUGCAUGAAUGAAACACUUCGUCACUAAGUAAUGUAAUAACAUUAUCAAGUUGAAGUGUGUCACUCACGCUAUCUAACAAAAACUCUAGAUGAAAAAUUUUUUUUUUAAGUGUGAAAAAAAAAAUUCCCAGUCGGCGCGGCCAAAGCUGAAGUUUACUUCGCUAAAGCUAUUAAGAAUGACUUUAUUAUUAUUGCUAUUGGAUGGGGGAUCGAAAUUGAUGCUAAAAACGAGGCGUUUAUGAUCAGAUAAAGCCUGGUUGAUCGCGUUCCAAUCAGCGAUCCUGUCAACGAGGCCAGCAGAACAGCAGGUCACAUCAAUGGAAGAGGACGAGUUACGUUCCUCCCACGUGAUUGUACCGUGCUCGUUGACCACAUGGAGCAGGUUGGCAUCAAGGAAAUUCUCAACAGUUUCUCUUUUAGUGCAGGUUGAGCUAAGCAACCGCGCUUUAUCUGACCAUCUGUAAGAUUCAAUAUUUAAAUCGCCGCAGAAAAUUACCUCGUGAUAAUUAAUAGAUUUGAGAGAGAUGUCUAUCCUAUCUAAAAGAUCGCUAACACAACAUGAUGGCGAAAGAUACACAGAACAUAGGAGGAUGGACAGGUUGUUGACUUCACACAGGACAAACACAGAGUUCACACAGGACAAAUGGGACAAAUGGAUGAACUUCAGGCUCGGAUUUGCCAUUAUCACCGCAGCUCCCAGUUUGUUUGUAUCAAUAGAACCAUGGCAGAUUCUGUCAGAGGGAACUGGAAUGGAUGGUAAACUGCCCUUUGCAACUGGGAGCUCUUGUAAUAAUAGCACAUCCGUGUUUUCGUUGAAACAUUCAUUCCACAAGGAGGACAGACAAUAAGGUGAGCGUCUUACAUUUGCUUGAACACACUUGAGCACGUUCAUCGCACCAUUGAACUAAUAAAUUGCUCCUGGGCGUCCCGCAUGUGCUUGCACGCCAUUGAGUUAGCGCUGUGCUUGCCACCGCAUCUGUGGCAUUUCAGAGCGGCCUUGUUGUCACAGGCCUCGGUCAGAUGUGCCCCAGAGCAGUAGCCGCAUUUGGCCGCCUUGGUACACUUCUUUCCGUUUUUGUGGGUCCUGUGUUCCAGGUUGCCGCAGACACCGCAGGGAAAGACGCGCUUAGCCCUUGCGAGUCUCAGGGAAAGGUAAUCUAGAGUGAGCCUACCGCGCCCGAGCAGGGCAGUCUCAAUUACCUUAUUCACCUCAAUUAUCGCGGUGGAGGAGGAACCCUCUUUUCUAAUCAGUUUUACCAUCCUGAUGUCGUCAGCGCUUUUCAGCAGCUUUUCGACAGCGGGAUGGCAUCUGAUGUCAGCCACAAGCUGCUCCUCGGUUUUCUCUCCAGGAAUACCAAAGAUCGCAAGCCUGGGCUUGAAUGUUGGGUUCGUUUGGACUUUAAGGCCGCCAAUAUUGGCGGUCUUGACGUUGUCAACAAACCUCUUUUUUUCAGAGGGAUUUGUGAAGUGGAGGACCAGUUUUUUGUCCCCACCAGUCACUGCGGCGACAUCCAGGUUUUUCAAACUGGGAGUCUGAGCGAUCUUCGCCCUUAGCUCCUUAACAGAGAGAACAUCAGAGUCCAACUUUACAUGGUUGGCACUGUUACGCAGAGUCUGCGCGUAGCUGGGCCGAGAAGGCUUGGUCAGCUUAGCACUGACAUUGACUGGCGGCGUGGUUUUCGUCACAGAGGGUGCUAUGAGAGUUGACUUGGCAGCGGGUUUUGCUGCAGGAGCGGAGAUAGCCGCGGGAGCGGGAAUAGCAGCGGUAGCAGCCUUGAGCUUAUUUUCAUAAUCCUCACGGAGUUUCUCCGUAUAAAGGUCACAGGCUUUGAGUUUUUUGGAAAGGACCCCAAAGGCGGACUUUUGCAGUUCUGCAAGGAUACCAUUGACAUUUCUGUAAAUGGUACAGAGAGGAGCUGUGUCUUGACCUACUUUUGAGGCCGAAUCUAUUUCCACAAGAACCAUGUUGGCGCAAUUAGUGAAGCACUUAUUUAUCUCUUCCCACCCUUCCCUAAAUGCCUGGUUGGUAUCAAGUGGCCCUAUUGGAGUAGGAGAAGAAGGAGAAACCCGGGGAAACUCACCAUUUGGGAUUGGUUCCGUGGUCACAAGCUCGGCCCCAGUGCCAGGAGGGUCCGUCGAUCGAGCGUCGCUUUUUUUAAGUUUAGCUGCGUCACUGCAUCCAGCCAGAGGAGGGUCCAUAUUGCCCGAGGGAGGAUCCGGGGAGCCUCGCGCGUAAGCAUGGUCGUCAAAGGAGGCCAUCUUGAUUUAAAAAAAAAAUUUUCUCUAUUUGGAAAAAAAAAAAAUUAAUUAAUCAAUUUCAAGAAGGAACUAAUGUCAUCGUUAUUUCAUCUCAAUUUGCAGGUGUUACAUUCGAGCACAGCUCGCGAGUCACCUUGUCCAUAUUAUUUACACAUGGCGAGUUGUGAUGCUGGAGUGGCCCCCCGAACCUUACAGGAGGGCAGUUGUUGGGUGUUUGGCUGUCAGCUAGCCAUUGGGUCCAGGUCGUCGGAUUCGGUGGCUGAGGUCACCUUGGUUUUGAACAAUUUCUUGUAUAGUUGGAUUUGAGGAUUUUUGAAAUUGCGAGAAUAGUCUUGUCGCAGAGUCUUGAUAAAUUCUUCUAUAUUAGGCUGGUUGAGAUCUUCUUUGAGAAUUUUGUUUGAAAGAUUGAAUGGGGCUCCUAUAGUGGUUCGUAAGCAAAUCCUCAUGAAGGCAUCUAUUCUUUUUUAUCCGUAGGUGUGAUAUAUUUGCCCCAGACUGGUAGUGCGUACGUGAUGAUGGGUAGAAUGCAGGUUUUGUACAACGUGAAUUUAUGCUUUGUUGUUAAAUUACUUUUAAAAUUAAGCAGGCUUGAUAGAGAUAUUUUGGCUAUCUUUGCCUUUCUUAUGGUGUUUUGGACAUGUAGGUUAAAUUUUAAUUUCGAAUCCAAAGUGACACCAAGAUACUUGGCAUGGUCGGCCCAACUAAUAGUGCUUGAGUUUACUGUCAAGUUGGUUUGUGGCUUGAAUUUUUUGUUAUCUCUUGGGGGAAAAACUAUUGCUUGAGUCUUAGUUGGGUUAAUGUCUAGUUUCCACUCAUCGCACCAUUUGAUUAUGUCAUUUAGGUAAUUCUGAAGCUGAGUAACCAAUAGGUUGACUGAUUUGGAGUUGAAUAAAAUUGCUGUGUCAUCUGCGAAGAGCUUAAGUUUACAUUUAGAGUGCAGUGGGAUGUCAUUAAUGUAAAUAUUGAAAAGGUAGGGUCCGAGGAUAGAGCCUUGAGGUACUCCAGUCUGGAUUGGCUUUGGUUCAGUUAUAAAAUUUCCUUGCUUGACUGAAAAUGUCCUGCCCUGUAGAUAAUUCUGCAUAAAAUUGAUAAUGUCACUUGGAAACUGGUGUUUUGUGAGUUUCUUUAUAAGGCCAUUAUGCCAAACUUUAUCAAAUGCUUUCGCAAAAUCUAGAAAGACAGCACCUACCACUUCCUUGUGGGAUCUUCUUAUCUGGAUAUAGUCCAGAACUGCAAUGAGUUGGUGAGUUGUUGAGUGCCCCCUUCUAAAUCCGAAUUGCUGCGGGAUGAUGAAGUUAGAGUUGUCCAAGUACAUCUGAAGUCUACGUAGAAUAAUUCUUUCGUAAAUUUUGCCGAUGGUGGAGAGGAGGCUGAUAGGUCUUAGAUCUUCAGGGGAUUUAGCGGAUUUUUUUGGAAUUGGAAUUAUGAUAGCAUGCUUCCAGACUUUGGGGUAGUAACACAAGUGCAGUGCGGCGUUGAAUACUCCAGCUAGAAAUACAAUCCAUUUGAUCGGAAGAUUCUUGGCCAUUUGCGGAGUGAUAUUGUCAUGACCAGGAGCUUUGUGGUUAGCUAAGUAUUUAAUUACUUCUUUGACUUCAUUU